UUUCCUACGGGGGGCAGCAGUGGGGAAUAUUGGGCAAUGGGCGCAAGCCUGACCCAGCGACGCCGCGUGAGGGAAGACGGUCUUCGGAUUGUAAACCUCUUUCAGCAGGGAAGACAAAAGGACGGUACCUGCAGAAGAAGCCACGGCUAACUACGUGCCAGCAGCCGCGGUAAUACGUAGGUGGCAAGCGUUAUCCGGAAUUACUGGGUGUAAAGGGUGUGUAGGCGGGUUUGCAAGUCAGAUGUGAAAAUUAUGGGGUCAACCCAUAACCUGCGUCUGAAACUACAGAUCUUGAGGGUGGGCGG
This 305-nucleotide ribosomal RNA is filed under the name uncultured bacterium. RNAcentral describes it as "bacterial SSU rRNA". It matches the Rfam family "Bacterial small subunit ribosomal RNA", at positions 335 to 655 of the family's 1533-position model. The record is from RNAcentral.